ACAAAGUUAGUUUGAACUACCGUACAUUUAUGUAACUCUAAUAGCUACAUUGCCAUUUGGUGACUACUUCAUGCAUGGGCUGCUUUUUCUUGAUAUGAUUGGGAAUCUACAGUUUAGUUUCAAACGUCAGUUCAUUGAAAUUGUACAUUGACGAUAAAGGUUUCCAGACAUGACCUGUAAAUUACAUUUUGAAGAAUAGUAGUUUGCCUUCCUAGGAUAAGAGUGGAGGAUGACAAGUAUAGGAGCAGGCAGAAGGAAAGUGGUGCGACAUGUCCAUACACUUUGGAUUGAAUUCUACUGAAAGGCUUUAUAGAUGGAUGUUUAACCCUCUGUUCUAACCAUCUGAUGUUUUGCUUUUUGCUCCAGGUAGAGACGGAGCCAUCCCGGGCCAGAGCCACAUCGCACGGGGAGGAAUGGCCAGCAGCCGCGGCAGCUACAUGAACACGAACACGGGCACGUCUCAGUCUCUGUCUGGCGCACUGAACCGACAGAACCAGCUGAUGCAGGGGGGGGGGCUGCAGGGGGGGGCGUUCGGACGCCGCUAUUGAUGUAAAAAAGUGGGACUGUUUCACGAGGUCACGCCUGGAACCAUGUGACGCUCUCGUUUUUUACAUUUAAAAAAUAAAAAAUAAAAAAUAAAUAAUCAGAGUUCUUUUUUUGACACGAUUCCAAGCAAUUUUUCAUAGAGACUUAAUUUUAAUUUUUCUUUUUUGUGUGACGUAGUGCUCGCCUGACUUGUAUUUAUCAUCCAGUCCAACCUGAAGUGUGUGUGUGUGUGACACUGUCUGCGUGCUAUUAAGCAGAUUGUCCUGAAUUCAGACGUUUUGUAGACCUCUGGGUUGACGGACCUCUGUUUGUGUCCGAGGCAAUGUGGAAGAUUUUCAUUAAAUGAGCCUGUCGUAAUUAAUUUGUUCAUAGCUUGAGGGUCAUCAUUUUUUUUUUUUUUUUAACUCAGAUCUGUGGUGUUGUUUCGCUGCUGAAUAAAAAUGUUUUUAGAGUAAAGUCACAUUCAGAAUUUUUCAAUCGGUGCUUUCAUUUGUUCUUUGGUUUGUGUGACUGUUGGAUGAUGAUCACAAUCUAUUGAUUAAGAUCUGUUAUACAGUCUACAUAUCAAUGGACGAAGUCUCACACCACUGUUUCUGUAACGGAAAUGUUUUUGUUUUUUGGAUAAAAGUAUAAUGUUUAGUUGUGUCUGUGUUCAUUUUAUUGCCAGCUGCUGGUGACGAGUGUAAAAAUACACAGGGUAAAGUUGGCUCUCAUCAAUAAAAGAUUUGUCAUCUUU
This is a long non-coding RNA of Notothenia coriiceps (black rockcod), 1282 nucleotides long. RefSeq lists it as uncharacterized. NCBI's taxonomy places the organism in Eukaryota, Metazoa, Chordata, Actinopteri, Perciformes, Nototheniidae. The transcript is spliced from 2 exons. The record is from RefSeq and is a predicted model, not a curated record.